AGAGAGAGAUAAGACUGGGUGAGUAAAUAUGGAGAGAAGGGCAUUCCAGGCAGAGAGCAGAGGAAUGAACAAAACUGAAGGAAAGAAAUUUUUGCAGCAAGUGGUAAAGGGCAAUCUGUCUGGACAUGGCACUAUGUAGAGACAUCUAAUUAAAGAGGACGUGUAUCUGGAUGAUAGAGGUAAGUAGACUUGAGGAGGGGUAAGGAAGAAGAUUGGCUAAGGCAACUUGGCGGCUGUGGGCGCUGUUACCUGAGAAAGGUAAUAUGGGAAAUAGAAGUUUUUUGGACUAUCAUGAGUUCCAUUUGGUUAUGGUUAAGAUUGAGGUGCUUGUGAGUCAUCCAGAAAAAGAGAUGUAUCAGGCAGUUGAAUGGGUUGAUUUGGGCUACCGAGAUUUGAUAUAUCCCAGUAGAGUAUAGGCAGUAAUGAAAGUUUGUGUAGAAGUGAGCUUUUUCUGAAAUGAAACUGUACGUUUAGAAAGAUACCAAAAGGAGAACCUCGAGGAAUGUCAAACAUUUGAAAAGGAACCAGCAGUGAGCAAAGGCCGCGGAAGCAUUCCUGCUGUCCCUGAAACCGAAAGGGGCCAUUGUAAGACUUUACCAGGAAUAUCUUAGGUUGACUUUCUGGUAUGCAGUCGUUAUGUUGACUUUCUGGUGUACAUACACACCAGGUCAGCUAUGUCUUUGUGUUCUUUAGCUGAUUUGCUCUUAGGACAAGCUUUACAAAAAUUCAGAGUUGUGAUUUCAUAAGAAUGAAACUUAGUAAAGCAUUUUCCAAAUA
Myotis brandtii (Brandt's bat) is the source of this 777-nucleotide long non-coding RNA. RefSeq lists it as uncharacterized. The record is from RefSeq and is a predicted model, not a curated record. The transcript is spliced from 2 exons. Lineage: Eukaryota; Metazoa; Chordata; Mammalia; Chiroptera; Vespertilionidae.